RNAcentral lists this ribosomal RNA (444 nucleotides) under uncultured Comamonadaceae bacterium. Its description in RNAcentral is "bacterial SSU rRNA". It matches the Rfam family "Bacterial small subunit ribosomal RNA", at positions 933 to 1382 of the family's 1533-position model. The record is from RNAcentral. Lineage: Bacteria; Pseudomonadati; Pseudomonadota; Betaproteobacteria; Burkholderiales; Comamonadaceae.
UGGAUGAUGUGGUUAAUUCGAUGCAACGCGAAAACCUUACCCACCUUUGACAUGUACGGAAUCCUUUAGAGAUAGAGGAGUGCUCGAAAGAGAACCGUAACACAGGUGCUGCAUGGCUGUCGUCAGCUCGUGUCGUGAGAUGUUGGGUUAAGUCCCGCAACGAGCGCAACCCUUGUCAUUAGUUGCUACAUUCAGUUGGGCACUCUAAUGAGACUGCCGGUGACAAACCGGAGGAAGGUGGGGAUGACGUCAAGUCCUCAUGGCCCUUAUGUCGGAGGCUACACACGUGCACAGUGCGGUACAAAGGGCUGCAAUACCGCAAGGUGGAGCGAACCCCAAAAAGCCGGUCUCAGUUCGGAUUGGAGUCUGCAACUCGACUCCAUGAAGUUGGAAUCGCUAGUAAUCGCGGAUCAGCACGCCGCGGUGAAUACGUUCCCGGGCCUU